GACGAACGCUGGCGGCGUGCUUAACACAUGCAAGUCGAACGGAAAGGCCCUGCUUUUGUGGGGUGCUCGAGUGGCGAACGGGUGAGUAACACGUGAGUAACCUGCCCUUGACUUUGGGAUAACUUCAGGAAACUGGGGCUAAUAUCGGAUAGGAGCUCUUGAUGCAUGGUGGGGGUUGGAAAGUUUCGGCGGUUGGGGCUGGACUCGCGGCGUACCAGCUUGUUGGUGGGGUAGUGGCGUACCAAGGCUUUGACGGGUAGCCGGCCUGAGAGGGUGACCGGCCACCUGGGGACUGCGAGACGGCGCAGACGCCUAUGGGAGGCAGCAGGGGGGAAUAUUGCAGAGCGGGCGGAAGCGUGAGACAGCAACGCCGCGUGCGGGAUGCUGGCCUUCGGGUUGUAAACCGCUUUCGCCUGAGACGAGGCGUGAGUGACGGUAAUGGGUAAAGAAGCACCGGCUAACUACGUG
This 468-nucleotide ribosomal RNA is filed under the name uncultured bacterium. Its description in RNAcentral is "partial 16S ribosomal RNA". It matches the Rfam family "Bacterial small subunit ribosomal RNA", at positions 28 to 507 of the family's 1533-position model. The record is from RNAcentral.